AGAAUGGAAGGGCCACCUGCUCACAAGAGAGAACACAUCCCUGCCAACCAACCUGGCAACCUGGCUGUGCUGGGCCCCGACCCACAGAAUCCCCCUCCCACACCAGGCCCAGCUGGGAACAGAAGCCUAACUUGACAGCGCCCCAGUCCUGGUCUAGCUGUGGCAUGCACCUCACUUCCGGGGAAUUCUUGGUCAUCCAGAGAAGCAGGCCCCCACUGGGCAUCCAUCAGCCUGACAGGAUCUCAGCUCCAGUGGGGAGACCAAGGAGACCAACGACAGAGGGGAGAAGAGCCUGGAGACCCUCUGCUGGAACCUGGAGGGCCUUGCAAUGACUUCAGAGCAAGUUGGGGUGGAGUGAACAGAGCCGGUGGCAAAGGGGCAGCAAGAGGACGACGAGAGGUCCCCAGAGGACCCGGGGGCUAUAGCACCUCUGGUCCAGCUGGGACCUGUCCAGCCCGCUCCUCCUCCUGGGCAGGCAGCCUUGG
Long non-coding RNA from Equus caballus (horse), 485 nucleotides. RefSeq lists it as uncharacterized. The record is from RefSeq and is a predicted model, not a curated record. NCBI's taxonomy places the organism in Eukaryota, Metazoa, Chordata, Mammalia, Perissodactyla, Equidae.